This 186-nucleotide unclassified non-coding RNA is filed under the name uncultured Eurotiales. RNAcentral's name for it is "sequence contains ITS1". The record is from RNAcentral. Lineage: Eukaryota; Fungi; Ascomycota; Eurotiomycetes; Eurotiales.
CCGAGUGAGGGUCCCAUGUGGGCCCAACCUCCCACCCGUGUCUAUCUAACACCAUGUUGCUUCGGCGGGCCCACUGGGCUCCGUGCCCAGUCACCUGGAGGAUUUUUCCCUCUGGGUCCGUGCCCGCCGGGGAACCUGUGAACUCUGUCUGAACUAAGUGGGUCUGAGUGCAGAUGCAAAUCGUUA